Brachypodium distachyon (stiff brome) is the source of this 94-nucleotide non-coding RNA. Lineage: Eukaryota; Viridiplantae; Streptophyta; Magnoliopsida; Poales; Poaceae. The record is from Rfam.
GGAAGAGCGGUGAUGAUUCUAUGUGGACUAGAGUUUCUGAUUCUGCUACUUCGGCAGUAUCUGCAGACAAACCCUUGGCUGUCUGAGCUCUUAG